This 482-nucleotide ribosomal RNA is filed under the name uncultured bacterium. Its description in RNAcentral is "bacterial SSU rRNA". It matches the Rfam family "Bacterial small subunit ribosomal RNA", at positions 30 to 506 of the family's 1533-position model. The record is from RNAcentral.
UUGAACGCUGGCGGCAUGCUUUACACAUGCAAGUCGAACGGCAGCGGGGGCUUCGGCCUGCCGGCGAGUGGCGAACGGGUGAGUAAUAUAUCGGAACGUACCCUAGAGUGGGGGAUAACGUAGCGAAAGUUACGCUAAUACCGCAUACGAUCUACGGAUGAAAGUGGGGGCUCGCAAGACCUCAUGCUCAUGGAGCGGCCGAUAUCUGAUUAGCUAGUUGGUGAGGUAAAGGCUCACCAAGGCGACGAUCAGUAGCUGGUCUGAGAGGACGACCAGCCACACUGGGACUGAGACACGGCCCAGACUCCUACGGGAGGCAGCAGUGGGGAAUUUUGGACAAUGGGGGCAACCCUGAUCCAGCAAUGCCGCGUGAGUGAAGAAGGCCUUCGGGUUGUAAAGCUCUUUUGUCAGGGAAGAAACGGUGAAGGCUAAUAUCCUUUGCUAAUGACGGUACCUGAAGAAUAAGCACCGGCUAACUACGU